CUUAGGGAUAAAGUAUCAUCAUUUUAACCUCCCGCCCCCCUCACACCCACCUGCCCAUUUAACAUCUGACACCACCCUUUGUCUCCUCCCGCCCUCAGCUCCGCUCCUCUUCUUCUGUGGUUAAGGACCGGAUCCUUUGGUCGGAGCAGGAAGUGGAUCCGAGCUCAGUUAAAAAAAGAGUUUAUUAAAGUUUUAUUAAUAACUGCAUUUGGUUUUCUUUGUGUCGUCAUGUUCCUGUAUUAAAAUGCCACACGGGCCAAACGGAACAAUCCUGCUCCCCAGAGGAUUCCCCCCAGCAGCUACGGGUGGACGUCUAUGACAUGCUUUGAAUGGUUCAUGCUCCACUGAGGAUGCAUCGUGAGACCUUUGGCCAUCUGACCUCUGAUCGUGGUCGCUGUUGUUGAGUUCAUUCUGUUCACCUGCUUGUCACAGCUACCUGUCUCCUCUCCUCCCUCCCUUCAGACUUUAAACUCACUCGCUCGCUCGCUGCCAGACCUUCCAGCGCUUCCUUUAGGGCGGACGUCCCGUUGCCGAUCCUGCCUGUCCUGGACUCCCCCGUCUGCUCGCCGGUAACAAUACAUCCGGAUGACGUGUGUCCAUGCGAUGGAGUGAGACGUGUCCCACGAGCCGGUGUCAUAUGGUUUAUGCGGCAUUACUGGAAAUUGAAAAGUCAAUAUGUGGUGCACAGCGUGCAUCCUGCAGUGUGGCAAAGAUCAGCCGGCCGUUUGCACCUCGAAGGUAACCAUUGACCAGCGUUAAGUAGAGGAAGUGGAUUUAUAAAAGGAGGCGGGGGGGUAAGUUGAUUUGUGUAGCAGGAUUGAUUACAGUGCAAUGUCUCUUUCUCUGCUCAACGCAUUAGUGCCCCGAGCUCUUCAAGUGGCUCCGCUUCCAGACGAGCACUCGCGUAUUGAUUUAUCACGUCGUCUCGGCCUAAUUACUGGGGAGGGAGGGAAGCCAACGGAAGGAGCUGCUCUGAAAAACAGAGCUCACCUCACACAGGUUCUGUUUUGGUUCGGUCUCAACUGGUCUGAUGAAACAUUCCCAUCAUUAUCUUUACAUCAACCAUCAGGAAAUAAGACAUCAGAGCCGAGCGAAGCCUCUCCAGGGCCUCACAGCUUCAGGAGUCAAAGCUGCAUUCUCUGUAGGAACCAGCAGGGGGCGACUCGUCUGAGUAAUGUCAAUGCAGCUGAUAAUUCUGCCACUUCAACACCGGCAUAGUUUCUCCUUUUAGUUUUCCGACCUAAUAUUUAUUUUUUAAUUGAUUAUCAUCAGAAAAUACUGAAUGUUGAUACGAAUGCUCAAUAAAAGUCUCUUUGUGGGAUUUGUUGAUUAAAAAGGAAAAAGCAC
Molecule: non-coding RNA, 1347 nt
Organism: Gasterosteus aculeatus aculeatus (three-spined stickleback)
Lineage: Eukaryota; Metazoa; Chordata; Actinopteri; Perciformes; Gasterosteidae
Source: RefSeq, a predicted model, not a curated record